RNAcentral lists this long non-coding RNA (1374 nucleotides) under Pan troglodytes (chimpanzee). Its description in RNAcentral is "long non-coding RNA NONPTRT001757". Lineage: Eukaryota; Metazoa; Chordata; Mammalia; Primates; Hominidae. The record is from RNAcentral.
CAGUACAGAAAUGCAUGACUGUCAGAAACAUGGACUUCAGAGUAAUAUGUCUGGACAGUUGUUUCUGACAGGCAACAUAGAAGGAAAGCAACCUGUAUGAUUAGGAACCAUCACACUAGAUCAUAUCCAGAGGGCUGCCAAAGCUGAACCACCUCACCAGCUUUCAAACAAAUUCAUUCAUUCAUCCAACAAACAUUAAGUUGUGUGUUACAAGCCAGGUGCUGAGCUAGUUUGCGGGAAUCCAGAAAUUAAAGAGAGUGCCAGAGUUGCCAGGAUUGUAUAGUUAUAUUGAAGUGAGAUAAGAACAGGUGCCUGUGGAAUGUGAGAGCACAGUCAUGGUGGUUACAUGUUUUAGAGUCAAACCAUCUAGGUUCAUGAUUCACAACACUGAUUAUAUCCACGUGACCUGGACUAGGUACAUACCCUCACUAGGCCUUGGGAUUCUUAUCUGUAAAUGGAAAUAGAGUAACUCCUACUUCAUGAGACCGUUCUGAUUAUUAAAUUAUGUAAUUCUUGCAAGGUGGUUAUAACAAUCCCUGGGACAUGGUAAACAAUAAAUGUGAAUCCUUCUACUACUGAUAUAUGCUAGUAGUAGCAAAUAUGGAAGGACAUACUGCUGAAUGAGUAGAGAGAGGACAAGGGACGGUGAGAGGUAGUAUUUUUUUAUUUACUUGAUACAUUAAAAAAAAAACUUGUUAGCUUUAUUAGAAAACAAAAGUUAAACAAAAAUCACCUGUAUUUUCAAAUUAACAUUUUGGUGUAUCGUUUCGCAAUUUUUCAUUUGCAUAUAUAGAGAUCAUACUAUGCAUACUAUUUGGUAUCACAUUUUCCCACUAUGACUUAAUAAACAUGUAUUUACAUCAUAACAACUCCAUGUAUUCACUGCAUAAUUGCACAUUAUUGUGCUGGAUCAGUUGCCUAUCACAAUUAUUUUUCUUUGUUCUACUAAAAGCAACACUGUCAUGAACGUCUUUCUGUCUCUCUGCCAGUUAUCUGAUAAUCAACUGAUAAUUUUGUUUAUGUUUCUAAGAGGUGACAAACACACAGCAAUGGUUAAACAGUUUUAUUUCAACAGAUAAAAUAUUUGCAUAUUUCAAAUAUUAAAACAAUAUCAAAAAUCAUAAUUAAGAUAUCUUGUUUUCACUCACCUUGCUUUCUAUUUCCUCCCAUUAUAGGAGACUGUUUUAAUUAGGUUCUUAUGUAACUUUUUAGUGUUGUUAUGUAAAUAAUAGCAAAUACUCCACAUAUAUUCUUAUUUUCCCAUUUCUUACACAAAAGCUAGCGUACAAUAAUCACUGUUCUGCAUCUUAUUUUAUUUCCAUGUAACAAUAUAUUGAAGAUGAUACCAUUUUGGUACAGAAAAAAUUCUCUCUC